AAAGCAUGGUUCUUAGCAGCAUCAACAAACCUAUGGACCUCAAGUAUGCAUGAUGGAUCUAGUCUUGAUAAGUUAUACAUCUAGAAGGACCUCUCCAUCAUGAGCUAUGGAAAAAUUAGUAAAUUAAUUGAUCUCAAUGCAAAACAAGUAUGAAAUAUUGUCUAGGAAUAUUGUUAUCUAACCUUUUCAAACAACAACCUGUGAAGAUGAAAACCUCCCACUUGAUAUCUAUCCAAUUUGUAAACCUUAGAGCUAACAUUAAAAAUAAAGACAAAACCUAAGUAAUAAUUCAAAAAAGAACACCUAACAACUAAAUCAAAUUGACAAGGUAGAAAAACACCAUUGAUGGAACUGACUAAAUAUAUAUCUUGAUUUCACUAAGAUACAUUUGAGAAGGAAACAUGCAUGGAAAUGGUGAGAGGAGAGGCAUCGUCUCACCAUCUUAAGCAACCUCAUACAUGAAAAAUGCAUAUUGCAUAAUUAAAUCAAAUUUACAUAAAAAAUAACAUCCUAAACAAUAUAAUUUAAAAAACUAAAAAAGAAAACCUAUCUUUCUCUCUCUUCCCAAGCAUGAAAACACCAUCAUGGAAACCACUAUAUAUAUAUAUUUCUUGGAUUCUAUAAUUAGAGAAAGAAACAUGGAAAUGGGG
RNAcentral lists this long non-coding RNA (650 nucleotides) under Sorghum bicolor (sorghum). RNAcentral's name for it is "long non-coding RNA (SBIC_LNC014631)". The record is from RNAcentral. Lineage: Eukaryota; Viridiplantae; Streptophyta; Magnoliopsida; Poales; Poaceae.